UGUAUGGGGUUGCUUCUAUCACAUAAUCGCCCCUCCUACCUCUUGAUGUGGCCUCCUCUUUGUCUUUCAGAGUAGGACAUCUUUUUGAAUGUUUCCAGUCCAUUUGCUAGAAGAUUGCUCAACAUUUGGUUGUAAAUUUUGUUGUUUUUAGGAGAGAAGUUGAGCUCCAGUCCUUCUACUCCGCCAUCUUAUUCCUAUCUCCCUCUGUAGCCAGGAAGGCCUGCAUCUCACCUUCCUAAGGCUUUUAAAAGAAGGGCAAAAGCUGGUCACAAGGAAGAACCAUGUGUGUCAAAACUUUUAAGUUUAAUUAGGUCCCAUUUGCUUAUUUUUGUUUUUGUUGUCAUUACUCUAGGAGGUAGAUCUGAGAAGAUAUUGCUGUGGCUUAUGUCAGAGUGUGUUCAGACUAAGUUUUUCUCUAAGAGUUUUAUUGUAUACAGUCUUAUAUUUAGGUCUUUAGUCCACUUUGAAUUUAUUUUUUUGUCUUUUGUCUCUUUAGGUUGGCUUAUUUAUAGGUAUUUUUUUGAUACAAUGGUAAAUGGGAUUGUUUCCCUAAAUUCUCUUUCUAAUAGUCCAUUGUUAGCAUACAGAAAUGCAGUCAAUUUCUGUGUAUAAAUUUUGCAUCCUUUGCCUUUACCAAAUUCAUUGAUGAGCUCUAACAGUUUUCUGAUAGCAUCUUUAGGAUUUUCAUGUCAUCUACAAACAGUGAUAAUUUUACUUCUUCCUUUCCUAUAUGGAUUCUUUUAUUUCUUUUUCUUCUCUGAUUGCCAUGGCUAGGACUGCCAAAACUUAUGUUGAAUAGUAAUGGCGAUAGCGGGUAUCCUUGUUUUGUUCCUGAUCUUGAUGGGAAUUCUUUCAGCUUUUCACCAUUGAGAAUGAUGUUAGCUCUGGGUUUGUCAUAUAUGGCCUCUAUUACGUUGAGGUAGGUUCCCUCUGUGACCACUUUCUCGAAGGUUGUUAUCAGAAAUUGGUGUUAGAUUUUGUCAAAGGCUUUUUUGCAAAUGUUGAGGGCAUCGUAUGGUUUUUAUUCUUCAAUUUGAUAUCACACUGAUUGAUUUGCAAAUAUUGAAAAAUUCUUGCAUCCCUGAGAUAAAUCCCACUAGAUCAUGGCGUACAAUCCUUUUAAUGUAUUGUUGGAUUCAGUUUGCUAGUAUUUUGUUGAGGAACUUUGCAUCUAUAUUCAUCAGUGAUAUUGGCCUGUAAUUUUCUUCUCUGUGUCUCUUUGUCUUAUUUUAGUAUCAUCAUGAUGGUGGCCUCAUAGAUUAAGUUUGG
This 1269-nucleotide long non-coding RNA is filed under the name Sus scrofa (pig). RNAcentral's name for it is "lncRNA (ENSSSCG00070000952.1)". The record is from RNAcentral. Lineage: Eukaryota; Metazoa; Chordata; Mammalia; Artiodactyla; Suidae.